ACAUGAGCAGUUGGCCCUUAGAUCAUGAGACCAGCUAAAGUGCCCAAGGAAAUGGAACAGCAGGGAGAGGGGACAUCACACACACCACCAAAACCUCUUCUUCAUCAUGGCCUAUGAACAGCCAAAGGGUAAAAUGAUCAGAAAACUGGACAGUUUUUGACAGUCUACUAUUUUCAGAGAAGAGAAUGUCCCAGCUAGAAAUGCAAGUGGACGAGUGCCAACCCGAUGAGGCCAAUGAUUUGCGAGUGGAGACCUCUGAGGAACUUGGUAAAGAAAGCAGGGCUUUGGCCUUCGCCCGGGAGGCUUGGGACCCCUGACCACCCCCUGCCCCAUCACCAAUAAACAGACAGGAAGGAGGAAUUCAGGGACAGCCUUCAGAAAGGAGUGGCUAUCCACUGGCCACAGCGAUGACUAAAGAGAGGUUCAUGCCACAGCAGAACACAAACGGCGCCAAAGCUGUCUAAAGCAGACACUGAGUUUAUUAUUUGCUGAAGAAGGGGAGUGACCCAUUUCAUUAAGAAAGGUCAGAACAGCUCUCCAAACUGAAGGUAAACAGGACGGACACACUGUGGAAAAGAGGACAUUUUGUUUAAAGGUCUGAUUGGCUUAAUUGUAAACUCUCUUGAGGGAGUGGCUGCUGUUCUGGUUGUGUGUCACAGAGACUUGAGAACAGCUCGCAGGAGAUCCUGGAUGAUCUGACCUGUGGUGCACGGCCCUGGCAGCCUGGUGUCUGUGCCUCCUCUCGUUGAGAUGAGAUUUUUCUCUGGCACCCACUUGGGUUAAGAGUGAGAAGCCCUGGGGCCCAUGGGCCUGCUGCAUGACUCUGUACCCAUCACCUGGCACAUAUGCAGACUUCCUGGUCACAGGGAUGAGGAAACCACAUGAAAAGCAGUUGGAGAAAUUUGUUACCAUGCAGCCAUCCUAUUUUCUAAACAGGAAAACUGAGUUGCAGAGAGCGAAGCCCCAGUAAGUUGGAGGAUAGAUGAUUAAAAUGCUGCUGAAUAAGGGAGAAAAAGGCAAACUGGAAAGACCUAACCCCAAAUUAGUCAUGUCCAAAUCCUGGUAGGAAGAUUACAAGAGAUUUUUAUUUUCUCUCC
RNAcentral lists this long non-coding RNA (1097 nucleotides) under Homo sapiens (human). RNAcentral's name for it is "long intergenic non-protein coding RNA 2367". Lineage: Eukaryota; Metazoa; Chordata; Mammalia; Primates; Hominidae. The record is from RNAcentral.